Molecule: RNase P RNA, 472 nt
Filed under: Bacteroidetes bacterium QS_3_64_15
Lineage: Bacteria; Pseudomonadati; Bacteroidota
Description: RNase P RNA component class A
Rfam family: Bacterial RNase P class A
About the family: Ribonuclease P (RNase P) is a ubiquitous endoribonuclease, found in archaea, bacteria and eukarya as well as chloroplasts and mitochondria. Its best characterised activity is the generation of mature 5'-ends of tRNAs by cleaving the 5'-leader elements of precursor-tRNAs.
Source: RNAcentral
CGUGCGGAUCGGACCAUCGCUCCGUCGUUCCUGCUCAACCGAGACCCGUUCCGGUCCGCGCAGGUGCGGCGGUGAGGAAAGUCCGAACACCGCAGGGCACCGUGCUUCCUAACGGGAAGGCGUCCCGACUACCAUCGAGGCGACGGCACGUGCAACAGAGAGCAGUCCUGCCCUGACGAUCCCGCCCCGGCGACUGUCGGGGCCGGUGGGGUCAAGGGUGCAAGGGUGCGGUAAGAGCGCACCGGCGCUCCUGGCGACAGGGGCGGCCCGGCAAACCCCACGGGGUGAAAGGCCAAGUAGUACCGGGCACCGGCGCCGUCGGUGCACAAGGUUGCCCGCCGACCCAUCGGUGCAGGUAGGCCGCUAGAGGCGCCCGGUGACGGACGUCCCAGAUAGAUGAUGGCCUCCCCGCCUACCGGGCACGGCCCCGGACGCGGGCAGACCGAAUUCGGCUUACAGAUCCGCACGUUUC